RNAcentral lists this long non-coding RNA (2042 nucleotides) under Lactuca sativa (garden lettuce). Its description in RNAcentral is "long non-coding RNA (LSAT_LNC010291)". Lineage: Eukaryota; Viridiplantae; Streptophyta; Magnoliopsida; Asterales; Asteraceae. The record is from RNAcentral.
UUGAAUAUAUAAAUAAAAAUAUUACAUAAAUAUACAUUUAAAUCAAAAGAAAAAACUAACAUUCGUCUACUUUGCUCAAACAAAAAAAAACUUAUAUCUAUUUUCUGAAUCUUCUUUCUUUAUUGAACACCAUUCAACCAUAGAAACUUGAUGACAAUUUUUCACUAACCUACAAUCAAAAUGUUUUUCUUGAAAAAAAAAAAGAAUAAGAAAGAUAUUCCAAGCAAAACAUUGAUGUUUGGAGAGUCACAUUCAAGAUUGAGUAAUACAUACAAAUCAUAUAUAAAGGUCAAAUGAGAAAUUGAAUAUAAAGGAUAGAAAAACUUCAUAUGUUUUGGUUGAAGGAAAAAAUCAUAUUACAAUUACCAUCGAUGCGACAUAACUCAUUUCUUCAAAUCAUCAUAUUUGGAUCAUGAAUGAUUCAACUAUAUAAAAACUUUUGAAUCAUAAUAUCUUCAACCAAAUGACGACUUUUUAUAAGAAAAAUGUAUUAAUAUAACUACAUAUAUAAUGAAGGUGAAAAGGUGUGGGGGUUUGAAAUGCAUGAGGUGUUGGACUUAUAGAGUGUGUGAUUUUCUUGGAAUGGGAUUAUGUGUGAUUAAUUACUUUGAAGGUGAAAGGGUGUAGGAGUUUUAAAUGCAUGAGAUUCAAGAAAAAAUGCUAACUUUAUAAGUAUGUAUGAUAUGAUAAUGAAAUGAUAAUGAUAAUGAUACCAUAUAUGGUUUUUUUACAUAAGUUUGGCCUUAUUUUAGUAGAUGUUAAAAUUUCAAAAAGUUAUUAUUAAAACACGAGAUUGAAAUUUGGUACCCAAUCAAAUCAAGGAAAAUUAGAUUUGAUGUUGGAAUGAGUGUAAUGAUUUUUUAUUAUAAUGAAAUAAAAUUAUAUAAACAAAAUUGUAAACAACUUCUUCGUCCAUAAAAAUCAUUUCAAUUGAUAAAACAACAAUAUUAUUUUGUAAAGUUGCAUAGCUUCGGUACUCAGACCUUGAUGUGUAUAUCAUCAUUCAUUUUUGUCCGUCACAUCAUCUUUUACCUCACUCUUCUUUCCCUCACUAAAACCCGAAACCUAUCAAGGUCUUAUCGAAGUUGUUCAUAUUAUAGUUCAAAAUGAACUAUUGAAAACGAGUUCAAAACCAUGUCAAUAGUCAACUCUUUUGGCAACUCGAUACUAAGAUUCCUCAAUCUAUCAUCCACAGUUAAUGUCAAAACCACAUAUAUAAUUAUAAACAACAAAUUUGUGCUUCAAAGUUUAUACAGUUAAGCUAAAACUUUAAUUAAAGAGAAAAAAAAACUCCAUAAAAGUCCUUAUAUUUUAGUCUGAUAAUCAAUUUAGUCUUUAUAUGUUAUUAUUAUUCAAUUAAGUCCCCAAAACUGGAAAUUAUAUUAAUUUUGACCAUUUUACCCAGUCAAACAGGUCAUCUCACCGUCAAAAUUUGCACUUUUGGCUGAGAUUUUAAACUUUUAUUACAAUUUUGGUCAAAAUUUUACACUUUUGACCCAGAUUCAAAACUUUGUUACAAAUUCAUCAUAAAUUUAGUUUUUUUUUUUCAUCUUUUAUUUUAAAAAAAAUUUCGAAUAUAUUUUUUCCACAGUAUAAAAUCAUAUUUAAAAAAAAAGCAUAUUUCACAUAAAAAAACCUUCUAUUUUCUAUAUAAAAACUUUUUUUAAAAAAAGAUAUUUGUUUAUGCAAAAUACUUAUAUAAAAACCUUCUUUUUAAAAACACUUUUGUAUGCAUAAUAACUAUUUAUAAAAAAAUCUUUUUUAUUUUAAAUACCUAUUUAUAAAAACAUAGAUAUGUGAAAAUGCAUAAAAAAAGCAUAUUUCACAUAAAAAAACCUUCUAUUUUCUAUAUAAAAACUUUUUUUAAAAAAAGAUAUUUGUUUAUGCAAAAUACUUAUAUAAAAACCUUCUUUUUAAAAACACUUUUGUAUGCAUAAUAACUAUUUAUAAAAAAAUCUUUUUUAUUUUAAAUACCUAUUUAUAAAAACAUAGAUAUGUGAAAAUGCAUGAAAUACACUUAUGUAAAAUACAUUAUUAUAUUC